CUUUUGUGUCUAGCUCAGGGAUUGUAAACGCACCAGUCAGCACCCUGUCAAAACAGACCAAUUGGCUCUGUAAAAUGGACCAAUCAGCAGGAUGUGGGUGGGCCAGAUAAGCGAAUAAAAGCAGGCUGCCCGAGCCAGCAGUGGCAACCCGCUGGGGUCCCCUUCCACACUGUGGAAGCUUUGUUCUUCUGCUGUUUGCCAUAAAUCUUGCUGCUGCUCACUCUUUGGGUCCACACUGCCUUUAUGAGCUGCAACACUCACCAGGAAGGUCUGCAGCUUCACUCCUGAAGCCAGCGAGACCACGAACCCACCGGGAGGAACGAACACCUCCAGAUGCACCGCCUUAAGAGCUGUAACACUCACCGCGAAGGCCUGCAGCUUCACUCCUGAGCCAGCGAGACCAUGAACCUACCAGAAGGAAGAAACUCCGAACACAUCCAAACAUCAGAAGGAGCAAACUCCGAACACGCCACCUUUAAGAACUGUAACACUCACCGCGAGGGUCUGCGGCUUCGUUCUUGAAGUCAGUGAGAUCAAGAACCCACCAAUUCUGGACACAAUCUGACUGUCUUUCCCCAAAACAGUGUCCUCUAUCAGCAGGAAACAGGAAUAGGGAGGCCUGAGGAGAAGGAGAGAAAAGGAAGAAAGUCUGGUAGAUGGAGCAGCUGGAACACACACAACAUUUGUGA
Molecule: long non-coding RNA, 689 nt
Filed under: Homo sapiens (human)
Lineage: Eukaryota; Metazoa; Chordata; Mammalia; Primates; Hominidae
Description: HSALNT0045210
Source: RNAcentral